RNAcentral lists this ribosomal RNA (429 nucleotides) under Pseudomonadota bacterium. RNAcentral describes it as "Proteobacteria bacterium partial 16S ribosomal RNA". It matches the Rfam family "Bacterial small subunit ribosomal RNA", at positions 355 to 776 of the family's 1533-position model. Lineage: Bacteria; Pseudomonadati; Pseudomonadota. The record is from RNAcentral.
UGGGGAAUAUUGGACAAUGGGCGAAAGCCUGAUCCAGCCAUGCCGCGUGUGUGAAGAAGGUCUGCGGAUUGUAAAGCACUUUAAGUCGGGAGGAAGGGCAGUAAGCGAAUACCUUGCUGUUUUGACGUUACCGACAGAAUAAGCACCGGCUAACUCUGUGCCAGCAGCCGCGGUAAUACAGAGGGUGCAAGCGUUAAUCGGAAUUACUGGGCGUAAAGCGCGCGUAGGUGGUUCGUUAAGUUGAAUGUGAAAGCCCCGGGCUCAACCUGGGAACUGCAUCCAAAACUGGCGAGCUAGAGUAGGGCAGAGGGUGGUGGAAUUUCCUGUGUAGCGGUGAAAUGCGUAGAUAUAGGAAGGAACACCAGUGGCGAAGGCGACCACCUGGGCUCAUACUGACACUGAGGUGCGAAAGCGUGGGGAGCAAACAGG